Molecule: ribosomal RNA, 256 nt
Filed under: uncultured bacterium
Lineage: Bacteria
Description: partial 16S ribosomal RNA
Rfam family: Bacterial small subunit ribosomal RNA
Source: RNAcentral
UAAUACGGAGGGUGCGAGCGUUAUCCGGAUUUACUGGGUUUAAAGGGUGCGUAGGUGGGCAGGUAAGUCAGUGGUGAAAUCUCCGGGCUUAACCCGGAAACUGCCAUUGAUACUAUCUGUCUUGAAUAUCCUGGAGGUGAGCGGAAUAUGUCAUGUAGCGGUGAAAUGCUUAGAUAUGACAUAGAACACCGAUUGCGAAGGCAGCUCACUACGGGGUCAUUGACACUGAGGCACGAAAGCGUGGGGAUCAAACAGG